This 302-nucleotide ribosomal RNA is filed under the name uncultured bacterium. Its description in RNAcentral is "partial 16S ribosomal RNA". It matches the Rfam family "Bacterial small subunit ribosomal RNA", at positions 508 to 807 of the family's 1533-position model. The record is from RNAcentral.
GCAGCCGCCGCGGUAAUACGGAGGGUGCAAGCGUUAAUCGGAAUUACUGGGCGUAAAGCGCACGCAGGCGGUCUGUCAAGUCAGAUGUGAAAUCCCCGGGCUUAACCUGGGAACUGCAUUUGAAACUGGCAGGCUAGAGUCUUGUAGAGGGGGGUAGAAUUCCAGGUGUAGCGGUGAAAUGCGUAGAGAUCUGGAGGAAUACCGGUGGCGAAGGCGGCCCCCUGGACAAAGACUGACGCUCAGGUGCGAAAGCGUGGGGAGCAAACAGGAUUAGAUACCCGUGUAGUCCCUGUCUCUUAUAC